GCCCUCAUCGUUCAGUGGAUAGGACACGGGCUUCCGGAGCCCAUAACAGAGGUUCAAGUCCUCUUGGGGGCACCA
Molecule: transfer RNA, 75 nt
Filed under: Candidatus Kuenenbacteria bacterium CG10_big_fil_rev_8_21_14_0_10_36_11
Lineage: Bacteria; Candidatus Kueneniibacteriota
Also listed under: 1 other name
Description: tRNA-Arg
Rfam family: tRNA
About the family: Transfer RNA (tRNA) molecules are approximately 80 nucleotides in length. Their secondary structure includes four short double-helical elements and three loops (D, anti-codon, and T loops).
Source: RNAcentral